UGGGGAAUAUUGGACAAUGGGCGAAAGCCUGAUCCAGCAAUGCCGCGUGGAUGAAGAAGGUCUUCGGAUUGUAAAGUCCUUUCGACGGGGACGAUGAUGACGGUACCCGUAGAAGAAGCCCCGGCUAACUUCGUGCCAGCAGCCGCGGUAAUACGAAGGGGGCUAGCGUUACUCGGAAUGACUGGGCGUAAAGGGCGCGUAGGCGGUUUGUUUAGUUAGGCGUGAAAUUCCUGGGCUCAACCUGGGGGCUGCGCUUAAUACAGGCAGACUAGAGUGUGAAAGAGGGUCGUGGAAUUUCCAGUGUAGAGGUGAAAUUCGUAGAUAUUGGAAAGAACACCGGUGGCGAAGGCGGCGACCUGGUUCAUUACUGACGCUGAGGCGCGAAAGCGUGGGGAGCAAACA
RNAcentral lists this ribosomal RNA (402 nucleotides) under uncultured Rhodovastum sp. RNAcentral's name for it is "bacterial SSU rRNA". It matches the Rfam family "Bacterial small subunit ribosomal RNA", at positions 355 to 774 of the family's 1533-position model. The record is from RNAcentral. Lineage: Bacteria; Pseudomonadati; Pseudomonadota; Alphaproteobacteria; Acetobacterales; Acetobacteraceae.